UAGGGAAUCUUCCGCAAUGGACGCAAGUCUGACGGAGCAACGCCGCGUGAGUGAAGAAGGAUUUCGGUUCGUAAAACUCUGUUGUUAGAGAAGAACAGCGCAUAGAGUAACUGUUAUGCGUGUGACGGUAUCUAACCAGAAAGCCACGGCUAACUACGUGCCAGCAGCCGCGGUAAUACGUAGGUGGCAAGCGUUGUCCGGAUUUAUUGGGCGUAAAGCGAGCGCAGGCGGUCAAUUAAGUCUGAUGUGAAAGCCCCCGGCUCAACCGGGGAGGGUCAUUGGAAACUGGUUGACUUGAGUGCAGAAGAGGAGAGUGGAAUUCCAUGUGUAGCGGUGAAAUGCGUAGAUAUAUGGAGGAACACCAGUGGCGAAGGCGACUUUCUGGUCUGUAACUGACGCUGAUGUGCGAAAGCGUGGGAAUCAAACAGG
This 429-nucleotide ribosomal RNA is filed under the name Bacteroidota bacterium. Its description in RNAcentral is "Bacteroidetes bacterium partial 16S ribosomal RNA". It matches the Rfam family "Bacterial small subunit ribosomal RNA", at positions 355 to 776 of the family's 1533-position model. Lineage: Bacteria; Pseudomonadati; Bacteroidota. The record is from RNAcentral.